GAUUCAUGGCUCAGGAUGAACGCUGGCGGCGUGCCUAACACAUGCAAGUCGAACGGACUUACAUUGAAGCCUAGCGAUAUGUAAGUUAGUGGCGGACGGGUGAGUAACGCGUGGGUAACCUGCCUUGUACUGGGGGACAACAGUUGGAAACGACUGCUAAUACCGCAUAAGCGCACAGCUUCGCAUGAAGCAGUGUGAAAAACUCCGGUGGUACAAGAUGGACCCGCGUCUGAUUAG
Molecule: ribosomal RNA, 237 nt
Filed under: uncultured bacterium
Lineage: Bacteria
Description: partial 16S ribosomal RNA
Rfam family: Bacterial small subunit ribosomal RNA
Source: RNAcentral